UACCAGCACCCCGAGUGGUCGGGACGAUUAUUGGGCCUAAAGCAUCCGUAGCCGGUUUUACAAGUCCUCCGUUAAAUCCAGCUGCUUAACAGAUGGGCUGCGGAGGAUACUAUAAGACUAGGAGGCAGGAGAGGCAAGCGGUACUCAGUGGGUAGGGGUAAAAUCCGUUGAUCCAUUGAAGACCACCAGUGGCGAAGGCGGCUUGCCAGAAUGCGCUCGACGGUGAAAGAUGAAAGCUGGGGGAGCAAACCGG
This 253-nucleotide ribosomal RNA is filed under the name uncultured bacterium. Its description in RNAcentral is "partial 16S ribosomal RNA". It matches the Rfam family "Archaeal small subunit ribosomal RNA", at positions 474 to 727 of the family's 1478-position model. The record is from RNAcentral.